CACGACAGAGGCUCAACCCCGCUAACAGGACUCAGCAAUUUAAUCGCUGGAUCCCGCAGAACCACUGGACCCUGUACCGCCCAAAAAUCAUUAUCCGGUCCCGACUGGGCUUCAGACGCGUUCCCUGAUUUUUCCGAGUUGCAGACCUCUCCUCAGCUGAGCCAUUUGCACAUAUCCUGCCCGAACUCUUAUGGGAAACUGUGACGGAUGGUUCAUCAUACUUGUUUUAAUUAUUCAGCUGUGCAGACAGCACCCUGGGGAGACGUGCUGCAGCGCAUUACAAAAAACACACAUUCAGUGAUAUAAUCAUAAUGAUGAUAAUGAAAUGUAUUUAGAGCACAUCAGUGCCUCCCUCUCUCUCUUUGCCUCUGCCUCUCGCAGCUCUGGUGUGAGGAUGUGAGUGCUGUCUGAUGCAGAAGAGGCAAGUUUGCUGCGCUCUGGCCCCCGGUGGCUCCUUGUGGAGGCCUGUGGUGCCCCGCACGAUGGCUCACCGGAGAUUAGCCGUCAGAGCGGAGGGCUUUGCAUACCUCAUGUGCCGUCAACUGCGAAGGCUUACCUGACAGGUGUUGCUCUCGUUCAGAUCUGUUGUGUCCUCCUGAGCUGAAGCUUCGGUGGGGCGCCUGUAGGUAGGAGAAACCUUCCUUCCUACUGUCACUCAUCACGGGCCACGCAGCCAGACCAAAGCCAAAUCUCUCCUCAAUGAGAGCCCAAUGAUGUCUGAUCAGUGUGGCACAAAAACACUCCGGGCGCUGCUUGAAUAGUCCUUGCUUAAAUAUGUCAUUGAGCAUUGCAAACUUUUUGUGGAAAAAAUAUUUGGGAGUGCUGCGCAUGGUUGCUUAUCAUUUCAAAUCUAAGUAUUGUGCAACUGUAAAUGUUUUUUCAAAUGUGAUAUUUGGGUUUAUUGGGAGUCUCCGAGAGAUGUAUUCAAACUCUCCUGGCUUCCCAUACUUCCAACAACGCUGUUCACUCCUUAGUGCAUCUACAGUAUGAGUUGACCUGUUUGUUAUGUUUGUAUACACUCUCACUGGAGAAUUUGUGAAAUAAGAACAUCUAAGUAGUUUUGUAUCCUGUCCUGUAUUAAAGUUUGCUGUCAGGUUAAUCUA
Molecule: long non-coding RNA, 1103 nt
Organism: Carassius auratus (goldfish)
Lineage: Eukaryota; Metazoa; Chordata; Actinopteri; Cypriniformes; Cyprinidae
Exons: 2
Source: RefSeq, a predicted model, not a curated record